This 68-nucleotide transfer RNA is filed under the name Camelus bactrianus (Bactrian camel). It matches the Rfam family "tRNA". From Rfam's summary of the family: Transfer RNA (tRNA) molecules are approximately 80 nucleotides in length. Their secondary structure includes four short double-helical elements and three loops (D, anti-codon, and T loops). RNAcentral also lists the same sequence under 3 other names. The record is from Rfam by way of RNAcentral. Lineage: Eukaryota; Metazoa; Chordata; Mammalia; Artiodactyla; Camelidae.
GGGGGUGCUCAACAGUAGAGCACAUGCUUGGCAUGCCUGAGGUCUGGGUUCAAUCCCCAGUACUUCCA